UACAGAGGGGGCAAGCGUUGUUCGGAAUUACUGGGCGUAAAGGGCGCGUAGGCGGCCAACUAAGUCGGACGUGAAAUCCCCAGGCUCAACCUGGGAACUGCGUCCGAUACUGGAUGGCUUGAAUUCGGGAGAGGGAUGCAGAAUUCCAGGUGUAGCGGUGAAAUGCGUAGAUAUCUGGAGGAAUACCGGUGGCGAAGGCGGCAUCCUGGACCGACAUUGACGCUGAUGAGCGAAAGCUAGGGGAGCAAACGGG
Molecule: ribosomal RNA, 253 nt
Filed under: uncultured bacterium
Lineage: Bacteria
Description: partial 16S ribosomal RNA
Rfam family: Bacterial small subunit ribosomal RNA
Source: RNAcentral